AGGAGCUGGCCAGUAUGCCCAGAAAUCAGAGGUGGGGAACAGCCCCUGGCACAUCCUGCAGGGGCCCACCCUUCCUUGUCUGUCCACAAGCCACAUCAGCUUCUAAAAAUAAGUCUUCUCUGUGUGGCCAGCUGUCCAGGAGACAGGGUUCACAGCCCCGGAGGCUUCGGUCCCCUGUCCACAGGGGACCAGUGACCUUGACUCACGCAGUGAUUAAAUCUCCCCACCCCAACAUUCAAGGGGCUCACCAGCAAAGGCUAGAGCUACUGACCUGAACCUUCACAUCAUGCAGUCUCAUCCCCGGACUGAGUGACAUGGUACCCUUACUUCCAUUUCAGGGGUGAGCCUGGGAGAACUGCUAUCGGAUUAGGAGCCUUUUGACAUCCCUCGCCUGCUCUGAGCUUGACUGUCACACCCGGAAUGUGAGAAAUAGUCAGGGUCAACAUGGACAGAGUGACAGUUACUUCUACACAGUACACGAUGAUACCAGUGGCGAUGACUUCGGAGGUCUAGAGACGGAAUGACUGGACUGUAAAAUGAAGGUGGCUAGUACAGUGGCCUGUGAAACCAGCACUGGGGAGAUAAGGCAAGAGAACGGAAGGCUGGAAACUCACCUGGACCACGGAGACUGUUUCAAACUACAAAUUAAACAAAAAAAGAUCUGGAGGGAGAUCUCAGUGGUGAGCCUAACAUGUACAAAACACUGGGUUCUGUCCCAAUACUGGCCCCUCAAAGAGGAAAGAAUGCAAACAACUUAACGCAUUUUUAAGAGAAGUGGGUGGUGGAGAGCUCUGUCUCCCGCCUCCUGGAUCUUGGGAGGGUCAGUUCUUCCUGGGCCUAUUUGGGGUCUACCGGGUAAGAACCGGAGCCUCAGAUUUCACCUUCCCUGUGGCAUCGGAACCAUGUAUCCGCUCCAGAUGGUCUCACCUCUCAGAGAUGCGGCUGGGAGGGUAGAAGACGCUCUGCAUGAUGAUGAAGUACGUCUGGGGACAGGGAUGGCGGGUGAGGGAAGCCCGGAUCUCACCCUCCAGCAGCCCCCACUGCUGAGCCGCCUCCCCUGUGCCACACCCACCUUUUUCCCGCGAGCCACGCGCAGACUGUGCACUCCUGAAAGAGCACAAGGCACCAGGUGAAGGUUCUAACUCCGCAGUCGCGGAUCCAUGUGACCGGAGUUCCCUGCUCCAGGCCGCGCGUCUUUCUUAAGACCCACCGCAUCCCUGAGCCUGUCACUCCAGUCCCGUCCCAGACUCCCUUCUCAAUCUGUGUCCCUUGUGAAUCAGUGAGGUCCUACCCGGAAACACGGCCCGAGACGGUCCAUCCCAAAUCGGCCACUUUGGGCUCCGCCCCGUCCACAGACCCCUCCCUCCCCAGGCACUUGGCGGUUUAGGACCCUCCUCCAGCCGCGUACCCAGCAACCGUGCCAGCAACGUGUGUGGAUGCCGCCGCAGGUGCUGCACGUAGCGGGGCAGGUGGGCGAGCAGCACCUGAACCUCGUGGCGCCUCUGGGUCUUCAGGAAGAAGCGCUGGUCGUGGCUGCCGGUGAGAAAGAGCAGUCACUGUCCAGGCUUGGCUGGAGCAGUUCUGACCCAGUCUUUCUUGCCCCUCCUUUUGCACGAGCAUGGAUGUGUCUGGCCACCCUCCCUCGCUUCAUCCCACCUUCAUCCGGCCCCGCUCCUCUCUGCCCGUGGCCAUCCCGCCAGCCUGGAACCGAGUCCCCACCCCGCUCCACCCUGGCUACAAGCUCACGACAGAAAGAAGCUGGCUUUGCUCUUGGAGGUGCUGAUAAAUUGAAGGGACCCUAUGAGUCUUGUUAGCUUCUGGUUAACCCAGGGCUGGAGGAAGGAUGGCGGAGACCUGAGGCAGGGCCCCAUGGGUGAGUCUUCAGGACCAGGCUGUGAGUUCAAGCCUGCUACAUGCUUUCAAACACUCAUUCUGGCUGUGUGCAACCAGAUUCCACCCCAGCAGAAGGAAAUGCCCCUGAAGUCAAGUGAUCUGCCAGGUGUACCCUGGAGAACCAGACUGGGCAAGGUGACCUCUGAGCAGAAGCCUGAAGGGGGAUGGAUUGGAGAAACAGGGUCCUCAGUACUGGCAGUCAGGGCCAGGGUAAGAGGGUUCAGGUGUUUAGAGCCCAGAAAUGAAAUGGAUGAGACUGGACAGGUAGCCUGGCCACCAACGGUAUCUUCAGGCUGUACUCAGUCUCAAGGAACCAUAGGAGAUUUUCUGCAGGUGAUGAAGUCAGGCUGUGGUCUAGGGAAUUUCCUCCAGAUUACUGUGGCUGAACUGUGCACACGUGUGCACACACAGACAACAUACAGGCUCACCCGCCUGCUGGGUUGCUGAGUUGGCAGUUAGGUGACCCUUUCUGCUGAGCCAGCGUGGCCCAGCCUGACAGGCUCCAGAGAGGAUGGGCUGGGUUAGGCUGGGUGGGGGUAGGGGCCCUUGUUAACUCUGCAAGCUAGCAGGAUCUGGGGGGGGCUCAGUAACCAGUGGGUAGUAACCCCUCCACCCAUUAUACAGAUGGGAAUACUGAGGCCUAGAGAGAGAGAGAGAGAGAGGCCCACCUGAAGCACACAUCCACCACUUGAAGCAGGGAGUCCCUUCAUACCUCCUAGGCUUUCCAGCUUCCCACCCCAGAAUUUCUGCUUCCUGACACAAAUCCCUGCCUCCCUCUUUUUCGUAGGUCUCUCUGAUCCCCAAUGUCACAGUAUUAGCAAGACAGAUAGCGAGCUGGACCUCCCCCUUGGGGUUUGAGUAGCAUGGGAUGGACUGGCCAUUCACCUUGGGUGGGUUGUCCAUGGAGACCUGGGUAGCAGCCCAGAGCCCUUCCUGCAACAUCUGCGUCAUUCUGUGCAGUUCAUGCCCUGGAUUGAUCUCAAACAGGCCCACUCGAUUCUGCUUGUCUCGGAGGCGCAACAAAAAGCCACGGUGUCUCCCUGAGGCAAUUGGCCUGUUUCCAGCCUCCAGGGAGGGGGCCCGGCUCUGAUGGGAAGAGGUACAGGAAACAAAGAGCGUGUGGUGUCUCCAAAGGAAAACGCACGGGUUCAAGUCCUACUUUCACUCAUUCGAAAUCUUCUCUUUAUCUUUCUCUUCCUCAGCCAUAAAACACAGGGUAAUGUUAUAACCACUCCGCAGGUGUUGAGGGGCCACAUAGCACCUGGCACAUGGUAUCCAAAUAGGAUGUAGACAGAGCAUGCUCCCCGCCAUGUUCUUUUUAUUUAUUCUAUGUGCCUUUCACAUCAUGGGUCUUGAUCCCAUCCACUUCCCUGUCCUGCAUCCGCCCCAGAGCAUGCCUUCUAUAGUCAAGCCCAGCUGAGUCGGACUGGCUCUCCCUGACCUUAGGUCAAUCGGGCCUUUCCCCCUGGCAGCAAGUAAGGUCUGUUACACGUUAUCUGCUACUGUUGUGCCUGAGCUGCCUUCAGAUGAAGCCUUGCCAGCAGGCGCCAGGAUGCUGGCAGAUCCAUCCUAUUCCUCCUCUGUGCUGUGUUCUUCUGUGCCAGCAAGAAGGGUCAAAUGGAUGCUGAAAUCACACCGGUUGACCCGUUGCUAGUGGAGCCCAUCAUAUGCUCAAAGCUGAGAGCUUGCGCUCUUAACAGCCUUAUGGAAGAGCUUAUCAUCCCCAUUUUCCUGAGGAAGACCUGGGGAGGAGAGACACCCACCUGAUCACCACCCCCUGUAUACCUGCGCCCAUGUGGGGCGUGUCCUGGUUUUUCCAGCGCAAAGUCCCACCCUGACUGAGAUGGGGGCGUGUCCACACCCCUGGCCAAGAGGAAGGCAGGACCUGCUCACUCACCCUUCCCUCCUCUGUCCCGGUUCGGUCCGCACCUACCUCGCGAGGCCCAGGGCUCGGAGCGGCCAUCGCCCCGAGCUGCAGCUUCUCUGGCUUUUGCUGUGUCCUCGAGGCCCCGGUGCAGGAGUCAAGGUCCACCUCUGCAUUGCGAAGGGCCAAUCGCAAGGCUCCUAUCACGGUUAUGCCCAAUCCGCGAAGCGGCCUCUGGCCUUGGCCGGCGGACCCCACCUCCCUGGCUGCAGCAUCCGCGGGACCCUGGUCCUGGCUGGGCGGGGCCGCCGAGCGCUGACUGGGCUGCCGGAGAAUAGGCUUUGCGAUCACGGUGGUGCCCAGUCUGGGAAUGGAGCUCUGGCUUUUGCCUGCGGGUUCCACCUCCGCUGAUGAAACAUCUUCCGAACUCUCGUCCUGGCUGGACGGGGCCGCUGAGCAUUGGCCGGGAUGCUGGAGAAAGGGCUCUCCUUUCAGUUUCCUUCUGGACCGACGACGUGGUUUUCUGGUGCUGGUUCUGGAGGCAGGUAGCCUAAGUCGUGAUCCUCGGAUCUUUGUAGACAUGAAAUUCCCAUUGACUGUCUCUCUAGUGAAGAAACUAAACGCAUAGAAAGAAAUGACUAUCGCCAGGUCGUACAGAAGUCAGCACAUCCUUCCGCAUGAUGUGAGGCACCCAGUGGGGGCCAGAGCGGAGCCAGAUUCCGGAGAUUUCGUGGUGAACUAGCUGGAGGGACACAGCUCUAGCCUGAUCUUUUAAAGGCAUAGACAGGAUGAUGUCACCCUUGUACUUUAAGCCUCGAGUGACUUGUCUUGGCAGUGGAACAGAAUUCAAACUCCUCACCGUGGCCCAGGCCAUCUGCCCUACUCUAGACUUGACUCCAAACACCUGCCUGCCCUGAGCCCCGCUGCAAGCUUCCUCCUCUAGGCUUCCCCCUUCCUGUCUGGACUUUUACUUGCCUUGAUCCUUCUUGCCACCUUGCAGGACUCUAUGCACUUCCCCCUCACUCUGGACCACAUGACCUUUAUCCUCAUCACUCUUGACAUGAGCAGAUUGUCUUGCUCAUGUAUUGGUUUAUUACAUCAAACCUCCUAAAAUGGGAGUUGCCACCAGGGCAGGAGCCACAUGGACCUCAUUUCCUGCCUCAGUGCCCAGCACAAACUGAUGCUUGAGAAGCAAGGAUUGGAAUGACGGGAGUGGGGGUGCCUAGGCCUUGAUGCGUCCCCACAAGAAAAAGACCACCGUGGCUGUAGUAAUUAUAGUCCCUGUCAUGCGUCUUCGGACAGUGGGGGGACCACCCAGAGGGGAACUGGAGGUGAAGGUGAGAAGGAUGCUUAGAUGUGCUGGCUUAAGAACGUUUAUUCAUCUUUAAAAUUA
Molecule: long non-coding RNA, 5150 nt
Organism: Peromyscus leucopus (white-footed mouse)
Lineage: Eukaryota; Metazoa; Chordata; Mammalia; Rodentia; Cricetidae
Exons: 4
Source: RefSeq, a predicted model, not a curated record